GAGACCCACGCCAACAGUUGCCAGCACGUUCUCCGGAAUGGUGGGGACACUGUUGGGACCGCCUCUGCUAAAGAGGAGGAAGGAAUGGGCAACGGUAGGUCAGCAUGCCCCGAAUUACCCGGGCUACACGCGGGCUACAAUGGACAGGACGAUGGGAAUCGACACCGAGAGGUGAAGGCAAUCCCCUAAACCUGCCCUUAGUUCGGAUUGUGGGCUGCAACUCGCCCACAUGAAGCUGGAAUCCGUAGUAAUCGCGGAUCAACAUUCCGCGGUGAAUAU
Molecule: ribosomal RNA, 279 nt
Filed under: uncultured archaeon
Lineage: Archaea
Description: partial 16S rRNA
Rfam family: Archaeal small subunit ribosomal RNA
Source: RNAcentral